Molecule: ribosomal RNA, 463 nt
Filed under: Vreelandella stevensii
Lineage: Bacteria; Pseudomonadati; Pseudomonadota; Gammaproteobacteria; Oceanospirillales; Halomonadaceae
Description: partial 16S ribosomal RNA
Rfam family: Bacterial small subunit ribosomal RNA
Source: RNAcentral
CCUACGGGAGGCUGCAGUGGGGAAUAUUGGACAAUGGGCGAAAGCCUGAUCCAGCCAUGCCGCGUGUGUGAAGAAGGCCUUCGGGUUGUAAAGCACUUUCAGUGGGGAAGAAAGCCUUGGGGCUAAUACCCUCGAGGAAGGACAUCACCCACAGAAGAAGCACCGGCUAACUCCGUGCCAGCAGCCGCGGUAAUACGGAGGGUGCGAGCGUUAAUCGGAAUUACUGGGCGUAAAGCGCGCGUAGGCGGUCUGAUAAGCCGGUUGUGAAAGCCCCGGGCUCAACCUGGGAACGGCAUCCGGAACUGUCAGGCUAGAGUGCAGGAGAGGAAGGUAGAAUUCCCGGUGUAGCGGUGAAAUGCGUAGAGAUCGGGAGGAAUACCAGUGGCGAAGGCGGCAUUCUGGACUGACACUGACGCUGAGGUGCGAAAGCGUGGGUAGCAAACAGGAUUAGAUACCUAGUAGU